GCGAGAAUAUUCGACAAUGGACGAAAGUCUGAUCGAGCGACGCCGCGUGCAGGAUGAAGGCCUUCGGGUUGUAAACUGCUGUCACGCUAUAGGAAAAGCCUUCGGGCCGUGACCAAAGCGAGAGGAAGCACCGGCUAACUCCGUGCCAGCAGCCGCGGUAAGACGGAGGGUGCAAACGUUGCUCGGAAUCACUGGGCAUAAAGCGCACGUAGGCGGCCAACUAAGUCGGGUGUGAAAGCCCCCGGCUCAACCGGGGAAUAGCUCCCGAUACUGGUUGGCUCGAGGACGGUAGGGGUGAGUGGAACUCCAGGUGGAGCGGUGAAAUGCGUAGAUAUCUGGAGGAACACCGGUGGCGAAAGCGGCUCACUGGACCGUCUCUGACGCUGAGGUGCGAAAGCCAGGGUAGCGAACGGGAUUAGAUACCCUAGUAGUCCCUGAGCGGGCUGGCAAGGCGCAU
Molecule: ribosomal RNA, 457 nt
Filed under: uncultured bacterium
Lineage: Bacteria
Description: bacterial SSU rRNA
Rfam family: Bacterial small subunit ribosomal RNA
Source: RNAcentral